Xiphophorus couchianus (Monterrey platyfish) is the source of this 2051-nucleotide long non-coding RNA. RefSeq lists it as uncharacterized. The record is from RefSeq and is a predicted model, not a curated record. The transcript has 4 exons. NCBI's taxonomy places the organism in Eukaryota, Metazoa, Chordata, Actinopteri, Cyprinodontiformes, Poeciliidae.
AGGCCUGGAGUUUGACACCUGCUUUUAAAUAACAAUACAGGGUGGGCCAUAAGUUUACAUACAUAGGAGAAUGUAAAAUGUAUUCUUUUAUAUUUCAGAUACCCAAGAAGAUGCGUUUGACAAAAGAGCAAAGAAUUUAAAUUAUGCUGAUGGCUGGAUUGGGAAGCAGUCGGAUGGUUGCACGAAACUUUAACAGAAAACAUGCUACCAGCAUUACACACGACACUGUAAAAAUUUUUUUGCAAGUUUCAGAAAACUGGAAAUGUUGCAGCUCAACCACGAAGUGGUCCAAGACGUGCAGCAAUUACACAGAGUCCCACAAAAAUAAAAACGGUUGUCCAAUAUGAAAUAUUUAUUUUUUCUAUGUGUGGAAACUUAUGGCCCACCUUGUAUAUCUGUUGACUCUUUGCAAGCGUCUUACUUCAGAGUGAAGCUUCGGACACGUUUUUGACGCGCUAAACGCGUUUGGUUUGAACGCAGCAUCGGUUCUACCUCCAAACGUUUUACAAACAGGAAAACAACAACAGAGAAAUCAUAUUUCUCGCAUCGCCAGUGGAGGGAACUUGUCCCACAUUUCCAAUUGUGAGUUUAAAGAAGAUAAAAUUGGAUCCAAUUAAAGAGAUUUGUUUUUUGCUUACAUGUGGGAGAGCUGUUUACCUGCAGCGUCUUGGAUUUUGUAAUUACAGUGGAAGAUGAUCUGCCCUCCUGUUUAGCUUCUCUGCUUCUCCAAACAGCUCAUUUGAAUGUAAUUGCUGAUUUUGUUGGUGCUGAAGUGCCAUCACUGCUGUUUGGGAGUGAUGCAGUGGUGGUCUUGUUGUGGGUUGGUGGAUUUUCUCUCACUGCUAAACAUGCCACGUUCUGUCAAAGCCUCGUAAGACUUAAGGUUUUCAUUAUGAGCUUCGACAGUAAAAACCAUUAAUCUGAUGGUUUAAAUUCCAUUUAUACAUCUUAUUUUAUAAACACUCAUUAUUAGACCAAUUUGACAACUUUGGCUGCUCUUAUACCGUUUUCAUUCAGGUAAAAGUUAUUUCAUCAUAUAUUGCAGGAUAAAAUAGGUAUUUUCUCAGUUAUUGCACGUUUAAAUCCAGUUUCUGGACAGAUGACGGGACAGUAACAGUGUUCAAGCUUUCUUCACAUCUGUAGCUGAUUUUCCCAGGAUAGAUCAGUGUUGUUAUCGGGCUUUACGAGGAGAUAGGCCUCAGUAUCAUCUGUGCAGCAAAGGGAAGCAAAACCCUUUAAAAAUUGUGAGAAUAAACUAUGCAAAAGCCUUCUAAGGCUGGGGAAUAACUCAUAUAAAACCUCACUAAAAUGAGGUCUGGUACUUUAAAAACAUGGCCCACCACAUGACCCAGUCCAGACAAAUACUCAGACCCUAAGCUAAGCCUUGUCCACUGUUUUUGGGAGGAGUUGCAAAUAUAAAAUUCUGUCUCCUUUUCUGUCCCUGUUUAGAUUAACUGAAAUCCAGCUGCUCUGGAUGGAAAGUGCAGCUCUCACUUUGCUCUGCCCAUUGGUUGCUCUAACUCUGCUGUCUGCUUUUUGUCCUUUACACGCUUUCUUCUUUUUUUUUUCUUCUUCUUCGUGUGAGUUGACUCAGCAGCCGUUAAGCACAUGGGAGAAAGGCCGGUCAGUUCACAUUAAAAUAACCUCGGUUUCAUACAUAAGCUGCAGCACAUGUCCUGGUUUUACUCAGUAAACAACCACAGACAUUAGCAUUAGCAUUAACUGUCAACAUAAAGGAUAGUUGCAGUGUUAUGUAAAAUGAGUCAUUUGGAGGUCAGUGUCAUAAAUCAACCAGGCGUCAUUAACCAGACAGAAAUAUAAUUCGUCAAACUUCCCUUCACACCGAUGUUAGACAGCGACAUAACUUUAGCUGCGUACUUUGACUGUAUUCAGCAUGGAGGAGCGUAAAAGUUCCCAAACUGUUUUGAAAAUGCGGAAAGCUUCUAGAUCCAGAGGAACUGGGUGCUAAAGCAUCUAAUCCAGCGGCAUCAAACUCAAUUUUGUUUUGGGCCAAAUCCAGAUCAUGAAUCUUCUUAAAGGGCCGGUUGUGC